UAUUUAUUUUAGUGAUAAUUUUUUAUUUCGAUUUAAAAUUCAAAAUAAAAGAUAUACGCUAUAUAUAAAUUAAAUAUAUAUUUAAAAAAAAGGUAAUAAAAUAAUAUAAUGUAACUAAAAAUGAGCAUGAGGAGGUGCAUCUAGGUUAUGGCAUCGUGGAUUGAUAUACUAUGAGACCUAUAAAUUUCGAUAAUGACUGCUACUAACGCCCGUGAUAUUUAGUGAAAAAACUAAAUAUCACACCCUCGUUUAUUAAAUUUGUUUAACACCAUGUUACCGCGAUAAUUAAAAUCCUCCAUUUUAUAAAAAAAAUGGAUUUUAUUUUCUAAGCUAUUUUUGAUACUUCUCUACUAUAAAUUUACUGAUAUGGAAAGUACAGAAUAAGAAAUAAAGGUAUUCUGGUUAGAGCAAAAUAUAUUUUGAUUCCACUUCUCUACUUACAUAAAUUUUCUGCUAUGGAAGGCACAGAAUUAGAAAGUAUAAAGUGAAUAAACUUGUUCAUAAUUAUCAACCUGUCAAAAUUCCAUUUGUUUUCCAGCCAACAAGAACAGAAUGGGAAAAAUAUCAUUCUGAUAAAUUAGGCCUGAAUUUGAUUGUGUCACAAAGUACUCAAAAUCAUUAUUUAUUAAGCUUGGCGGAUCCUGAUGAUAUUGAUCCAAUUAUAAGUGAUGGAAAUUGCUUUUUCAGAUGUCUUAGCAAGGAAAUCAGCAAUGCUGAGCAUUAUCAUGAAAUGAUCAGGACUAUUCUGAUUUCUUUUAUGCUUCAAAAAAAGCACAUCAACUUCUUUAGCGGGUUCAUAGGGGAUAGCACAAUGGAUUACAUUGUGAAGAACAAAAUGGGUUACAAUGGUACAUGGGCAACAGAUAUUGAGAUUUCCUGUGCUGCAACAUUGCUUCAAACUAAUAUCUUUGUUUUUUUAAAUCAUAAAUGGCUUUUAUUUUAUCCAUUAUUUAUUAUUCCCGAUAUAAAUAAAUUUAUUGGUUGUAUCUAUAUAAGAAAUUUAAAUUAUCA
Molecule: long non-coding RNA, 1011 nt
Organism: Gordionus sp. m RMFG-2023
Lineage: Eukaryota; Metazoa; Nematomorpha; Gordioida; Chordodea; Parachordodidae
Exons: 4
Source: RefSeq, a predicted model, not a curated record